Non-coding RNA from Mycena olivaceomarginata, 93 nucleotides. The record is from the annotation of a GenBank genome assembly. NCBI's taxonomy places the organism in Eukaryota, Fungi, Basidiomycota, Agaricomycetes, Agaricales, Mycenaceae.
GCACCCUUGGUGUAUGGAAACACACAUCUUACAGUUGGUAUUUUCUUAUUCGUCAAUCAAGAUGAGUCCGGGGUUCGAAUCCCCGAGGGUGCA